UACGUAGGCAGCAAGCGUUGUUCGGAGUUACUGGGCGUAAAGGGUGUGUAGGCGGUUCUUUAAGUUUGGUGUGAAAUCUCCCGGCUCAACCGGGAGGUGCGCCGAAUACUGAGGAGCUAGAGUGCGGGGAGAGGAAAGUGGAAUUCCUGGUGUAGCGGUGAAAUGCGUAGAUAUCAGGAGGAACACCGGUGGUGUAGACGGCUUUCUGGACCGUGAACUGACGCUGAGACACGAAAGCGUGGGUAGCAAACAGG
This 254-nucleotide ribosomal RNA is filed under the name uncultured bacterium. RNAcentral describes it as "partial 16S ribosomal RNA". It matches the Rfam family "Bacterial small subunit ribosomal RNA", at positions 524 to 776 of the family's 1533-position model. The record is from RNAcentral.